CAGCCGCCGCGGGAAUACAUAGGGUGCGAGCGUUAAUCGGAUUUACUGGGCGUAAAGCGUGCGUAGGCGGCUUCUUAAGUCGGAUGUGAAAUCCCUGAGCUUAACUUAGGAAUUGCAUUCGAUACUGGGAAGCUAGAGUAUGGGAGAGGAUGGUAGAAUUCCAGGUGUAGCGGUGAAAUGCGUAGAGAUCUGGAGGAAUACCGAUGGCGAAGGCAGCCAUCUGGCCUAAUACUGACGCUGAGGUACGAAAGCAUGGGGAGCAAACAGGAUUAGAUACCCCCGUAGUCCCUGUCUCUUAUAC
RNAcentral lists this ribosomal RNA (301 nucleotides) under uncultured bacterium. RNAcentral's name for it is "partial 16S ribosomal RNA". It matches the Rfam family "Bacterial small subunit ribosomal RNA", at positions 509 to 807 of the family's 1533-position model. The record is from RNAcentral.